This is a long non-coding RNA of Nothobranchius furzeri (turquoise killifish), 3034 nucleotides long. RefSeq lists it as uncharacterized. The record is from RefSeq and is a predicted model, not a curated record. NCBI's taxonomy places the organism in Eukaryota, Metazoa, Chordata, Actinopteri, Cyprinodontiformes, Nothobranchiidae.
CUGUUUUAAUUGUAUUUUACAUGUAAUUUUUUCAUUAAUCUUUAUUCUUUAAUUUAAGUCUCCUUUUUUGCUCCUGCGUGAGUGUAAUUGAUAGCCUAGUGAACCAAAUUCUCGUUUUGCAAAGUUUGGUCUAGGAAUGCUCCAUUGGAGCCUCCGCAGUCCCUAGCAGCGUUCUGGCGGCCCAGUCACAGCUCUUUAUAGGGGUUUCAGAAGGAUAGAGCACUGUGAUUGGUCCACAAUGGUGGACGCAUCACAGCUUGAUUGAAAUGGCUUUUACAUCAGUUUUGGACUAUUGGACUUUAGUAGAAUCAGAAGCAAAUGGAUGUAUUUAAGUCCUUUAUUUAGAAAAAGGAUGUAUUUUUGCCUUUUUCAACAGCAGACCACCUCGUUUACCGACAUCAGUUGUGGUGAGUACAUCACAAUGUUCGUUGUCCAGGAGCAUGCAGAGAUUGUUCGAAAGACAAUGAUAGAACACACCCCACGGCCCAGAACGUUGCCUGACUAAAUAACAUUUAAUUUUUUUUCUUCCAGCUCUUGGAGAGUACAGACACUUUUUUCCUCCUCUCCUCCCUAUCUUAUCCCAAGGCUCUUUGACUGUCUUUCGGUGUACGACGCUUCUGCAUUUUCUCUGGAAACUGGAAAUUAUUUAAAAUGGACCUGGUCAGUUGGUCUCUCAACACGACUGACAAGAUUUUUUCGAUCACUACGUUUACAUGCAGCCAAUAUCCGGGUUAUGAUCGGGUUAAGGUCAGUAUUUGGGUUUCUGAGUAGAUCAGAAUAACCCGUUUACAAGCAUAAAUAGAAAGAGUUACCUCUAACUUGCAUAACCCGAUUUAAAUGCAGACAUUGGGGUAGCGUCAAGACGUAUGGACUACGUCCAGAUGCAAUAUGCCUCAUUUCUGGUUCUUGUUCCGGUAUCCAUGAAAACAACAACAUGUUUCCCAGUUCGGAAGAGAUAGCGACCGCGUUUGUUUGUGCUUUAGUUUCCUCGUCACCCCAAAAGUGUGGUGCUGUGCCGCGACUCGCCAUUUUGCUCCCAACUUGUUGUUUACUUCUGGUGUUCUGGCGCAUACAAGACGUCUCGCUACUCAAAAGACCAAGAUUCCUUGCGAACAGAGCAUGCGCAGAACACAUGCUUUGAUGGGGAUAUCCCGAUAUGCGUUUACACGACCAAACAUUCGGGUUAGAAAAGGGUUACCCCAGGUGUAGUAACCGGGUUUUUAAAAACCUGGUUAUGAGCAUGUCCGGGUUUUUGGCGGUGUUUACAUGGACCUGCGGAACCAGGUUAUUGUGAAUAUUCGGGUUUAAAAAGGGUUACUGGCUGCAUGUAAACGUAGUCAAUGAUGACAACGGGAGAAGGGGCUCCCGGGUGCCCCCCUGGGACAGAGCCAGCUGGGCAUAUCAUGGACUCCUGUGUAACGUGAUGAAGGAGCUAUUCCUCCAAGGUAUUUAACCUUUUCCACAGUUCCUUUUGACACAGCGCCAGAGUGCAUGAAACAGCCUCAAGGUCAUGCAUUCGCUUCUAAACUGUUUACUUUCCAGCAAUGAAGACAGAAGAUGAAGACUGCUUUCUUUUCUUUUAUUAAAUCAAAGAACUCUAUUUUCAACAAAGCUCAUCAAAACAACUGUUAGUCAAUAAUACAAUGUGACUGAUCUGUGAAAUCACAAUAUUAUGAUUAAUAUGUUCUAAUAAGUAAUAUGACUUAAUCUAGUCACUAGACACACUGACACACGUAAGGAAAACAAUCACAUGACACAUUGCUGUACUGAUCCAAUCAGAACCUUCCUAGUCUGAAGCGUGGCAUAGUCUCUGUGGUGUUUAUAAAUCUGUCAGCUUUGAUUCGUCCAGAAUCAAAAACAUCCAGAUUAAUAAAACUGUUCCAACGCCAUCUUAAGUUCAGUUCUCAAGAUCUCGUUCUCAAGAUCCCAUGAAGUUCACCGCAUGUUAAGUAUGGACAGGCCAUCUGUACUUCUCUUUUUAAGCUGAGAACCAUUCAAGCUGGGAAAAUUCUGUUGUUUACCAACCAAGCAACGGUACCUUUCAGAAUAAAAGCUGAACUCGCUGACCCAAGGAGGGUCCCCUUUUGACACUGUGAACCACCUGUCGCUUUUUACCUGGAGACUAUCCGAAGACUGGUUUGUCGUGCUGUCGACGCUGCUUCAUCGGCUCCAGUACCAGAGGAGGGUCUGUGGACCUGGCAUCCGGAUCUGUACGGAGGUCUCACUGAGGAGGAUUCUGAAGACGUCUGGAUAGUCGUGGUGUUGGUGUCGGGAUUCCUGCUGUUUGGCCUGAGUGGUUACCUGACUUACCGGAAAAUUAAUGAGCUGUCGAGGAAUAUUGGCUCAAUCCGGGAGCUCAGGGAUGGAUUACACCGUGCUGUGAACGCACAAACUCAUAUAAUUGUCGAGAUGAGUCGUAAGCUUGGAACUUUGGCUGAGAUUCAGACUCUGGCAUGUAAGGUUGAUUCAAUCAAGGAGCGAGUUGACGGGACAGCACGGUUGGGAAUAAAUUAAUUUACGCCAUUAUUUGGAUCUAGAGAGGUUGGAGACCAACAGAACUUUAAGACAGAGAGGAAAUUAUCUCUGUCUGGCCCCAAAACAAGUUCUUAUCUGAAUCUGGUGCCCUUGAGCCUGUGAGGCUGAAGUGAUUACUCCCCCUCAGAAGAAAUGUGGAAUGCUGCCGUCGCCAUGGCAACUCUGUCUCCCUAUCCCAGCCUGGGCGGGACUGUGACCGGUGAAGGCCGUGGAACCGUUUCCAGGAGUCAUUGUGCUUUCUAAACCCAACUACCUCCCUCCCCUGUCCAAACGGAGGUGACGAGCGCUGCUCAUUGUGGCAUGCACUGAUGUGAGGAGAGUCCCCAACCCUUCCUCCCCACCUAGUGGACACUUAUGUUGUGUAAUGUCUGAAGUCUGUUGCAUUUCUGUCUGAGGUGUUUUUUGCAUAGCAACGCUGCCUUUCCUGUGGAAGGUAACUCUGAAGUGCCUUUUUUUCCUCCACCUGACUCAAUCCUCAAAUAAACUCCUCUGAUCUCUA